Molecule: long non-coding RNA, 3706 nt
Organism: Rhagoletis zephyria (snowberry fruit fly)
Lineage: Eukaryota; Metazoa; Arthropoda; Insecta; Diptera; Tephritidae
Source: RefSeq, a predicted model, not a curated record
ACCAUACUCUUGAAUAUUAUUCCCAUGAUGGGCAAAAUUGUAUUUACUAAAGAUCAAGUAUUCAGUAGAAAAGCUGUUUGGUUAUUUAUGUUGUAGUAAAUAAUCAACUACUCAAGUAAUUUGGAUGUCACUAAAUACCGAGUAUGACAUACUCUGGACAAAUAUAUUUCAUUAUUUUCACAGGAAUAAAUAAUGAGUAUAAACGUAUUUAGCUGCUUUUGUCUAAUAAAAUACCGGCUUCACUAAAUACUGAUACAAUUGUACCUAGAAUUUAUAGCUUCGCUAAAUAUUGUAUACGAACCAGAUAACCAGAAGUGCUGAAAAUUUCGAGACCCUGAAAAAAUCUGGAAUAUCCCGAAAGAUACCAAAAAAUAUGAAACCAAGAACCCCGAAAAAUCAAAAAAAAAAAUAACAAGCCGUAAAAGUCACAAAAUAAAAUAAAUAAUAAGAGGAGAAAAACUUACAUUUGACAACAAAAACUUUGUAAUGGCAUUGAUCAUAAGUUGACAUUUCAUAAGUGUUUAUUUUUCAUGGAGAAUCUGGAAUUCUUUUGUAUUCUUAAAAAAUGUUUUUUCUACAUUAAUUGUUGCUUGGUAAAACUCUACGAUAUUUACGUUUUGUUGUCCCUUUUUUUCAUGGAAAACUGAAAUGUACUGCUAUCACCAUUUUAGAAACUGGCCACCUUAGUGUAAGUAUACCCACACACACAUAUGCAUACAUCUAGAAUCUAGAACACACAUAAUUGCUGUGUUUCCGUGGGCAAUGAUCGCGAUCGAGAUCCGGAUAAAAAAUUUGCACGCAAAUGCAACAACAACGGUAUGAUCCUGAUAGAGAUCUGGUUCAAUUUAUGAUCCGGUCUUUUUGGUUUGUAUCACUGAUAAUAUGGCAUUACGGUUUGUAUAAAAAAAACUGUCAAACAGUAAAUUUUCUUAGUAUUACAUUUUCCGAUAGGACACGGUUCAAGUAGACCUGUUUCAGAUACUAUAGGGUAUCCAAAGAUUUAAAUCCUUCUAGAAUUGCAACAUCAUCGGCAUACCUACAGCUUUUACAGAAAUCUGAAUGCAGAUGCUUAGUAAGGCCUUAUCUAAUACAUUUUUUAAGUUCUCGUACUUCUUAGUGAUCUGAAUAGUAUCGAGUAUGGAAAAGUAUGUUUUUAAUACUGUUGAGCAAUUUGAGUAUUCGAUGAGUAUUGACAAAAUUAUGUCGAUACUUCGAUACUCAAAUAUCAUCGUUAAAAUAUAUUUUCAUAACAAGCGUCGCCAAGGCAAAGUAACGGGUUGCAAAAUUUACAAUGGCUCACAAAAUUGUUUACCGUCUGCCUUAGUCGGGGGUAGUCAAUGUAUUCAAGAAGAUUUAUUGGAGAGACAUCGAGAUCCCCAAAUAGCUGAAAUAGUUAGAAAUAUUUAUGGUAAGUAUAUAAAGGUAACAAUAAGCCUCAAAAGCAGUUCAGUAGUUUUUGUGCAAUGUUUUCAAUUGAAAAUAUUUUUACUAAAAAAGUCACUAUGAGUAAGAGAACAAUAUUAAAAGUCAUACGAUUUUUACCGAUUUUAGUAUAAGGGAUUUUUAACGGAAUAAUGUAAAAGUAUCGAAUAUCGAAUACUUUUAUUUGAUACUUGUUUCCAAAGCAUCGACUAUCGAUCGAUACUUGAAAGUAUCGAAAGUUUACAUUACUAGUAUUUCUUGGCUUCGGGAUACCUCUGAAAUCAAAUGACCUUCCCAUGUGAAUAUGGUAUGAAAAGAGAUCUUAAUUUCAUUUCCACUAACUUUUCAUUGUUUGUUUUUCAGAUUUGUAGGGUACAUACAGUGUAUAAAAGACUGCUACAGUUGCAGCAAUAUUAAAUGAAAAUGAUGACAAAUAGACUGCGCCAGAAGCCUCUCGCUCAAUGCUCUCUCGCCAACAGCAACUCGACUUUAGUUGUUAUUUUCGUCCCUUGAAUGAAUUGUUUGCGUAUGUGUUUGACAGUGUUGAGUUUUGGCUUGUCUCUCGCGUGAGCACCGCAGCUAUAUAACCAGCAAGAGACACCAGCAGAAGUCAGUAAAAAUUAUGCCUUUGAACAGAAUACAACAAAGCAAAUAGUAGAACAAGGAGUUAAAAAACCAAAACCAAAGUGAUUAUUUCAAAAAGUUCCAACUAAGAACUGAAAAUAUUAAAAGACAUUUUGAGCAAAGAACAAAUCUUAAAACUAGAUGCCUAACCGAUUGCCAAUUAAACCACCACCACAGAUGCACUCUUCGCAGUUGGACCACUCUCCUAGUCGGCCACACUCACAAUCGUCCACAUUCAGCAGCAGAUGCAAUUGCUCACACUAUCCAUCAUCAUCACCAGCACCGAGCUCUCAUCCCUAUUGCGUUGUUUGUAUGGCAGUGCAAAAUCGGUAUGCAUAAUCUAUUUAUGUAUGUCCCAUUUUCAAAGUCUUGGCGAAACACAACAAGUGGUGAUAUAAAAGUCAAUAGUUAUGUUGUAAAAGUAGUUCGUGGUUUGUAAUUGGAAGAGUUGAUUGCAGCAGACAAGAGCCAACAAUCGCCAGAAAUGAAGAACGCAUAAAUGCGCCACCAAGAAGCAGCAGAAAAGCACAACGAAUUCAAGGGACAAUUAAUUUUCCUCAAAAGCGACUGAAUUCCGAAUUUAUCUGAGUGUUAUUUAGGAUUACAACUUAGGAUUUUUACAACUACCCCAAUGUGUACAUAUGAGGCAUUAUAAAUCAGUCAAAAGUGAAAUGUGAUGAAAGUGCUUAAUACGAUAUAAACAAAAGUGAAUAUACAUAUAAACUUUCUGGAUAUAAAUUAAGUUUUUCUUAUACUCAAAUACAUAAGGUCAAUUAUUUAGCAUAGAAUCCAGAAAGUUUAAACAACCAAAAUUUAGCAUUAACUCAGAAUUAAAUAAAAUUAUAAUUAUCAGUUUUGCAUAUAAGCCGUAAUAUUGACGAUACUACAUUUUAUUAACGUUGUUCAUGUAUGAAAUUACAACCGCAAGGGUAUUUAUUCCCGCCCUGAAAACUCUCGAAAAUAUCGUUACUCUCGAAGCUUUAACUGAACUAUAAAAAUUUAUAUGAAAAAUACUGCGGUGUUUUGAGUUUAAGAAAUUUACCAAAUAAGUACUUGUAAAAUCAGAACUUUUGCAUUUAUCAAACCAAAAACUAUAAAUUUGCAUUUGUACUAGUAUGUAGUAUAUAUACAUAUGUAUGUACAGACUUAUUUUAUCAGUAAAUGUGGCAGCAAACGUUUUGUAAGAAUUCAUUCAGACUUUAAAAAAUCUAUGAAAUUUUUAUUAAUGUUUAGUACGGAUGUACAUACAUACUACAUAUGUCUAUUUUAUGAAUUAUAAGCAUACACGAGUUUAUAUCUGCAAAUUUUUAUGAGCAAAUAGUAAAUGUAAAAAAUAAAUAUCAAUGCUCUUUAUUUUUUAUCAUACACUUAAAUAUUGUUCUCGUGAUGGGCAAAAUUGUAUUUACGAAAUACCAAGUAUGCACUAAGUACAAAAGUAUUUAGGUAUUUAGUAAAUAAUCAAGUACUUAAGCAACUUGGAUAUCAUUAAAUACCGAGUACAUAUAAAAGUGUUUAGCUACUUUUACUUAACUAAAUACCGCUUACAAACGUACUUAGAAUUUAUGGCUUCACUAAAUACUGUAUGCAAAAGAAAUAUUGUAAGACACCAAAAAAUUUAACACUAAGAACCACUUCAAUCCCAGAAAAAAUAAAAAAGUUC